This 274-nucleotide ribosomal RNA is filed under the name uncultured bacterium. Its description in RNAcentral is "partial 16S ribosomal RNA". It matches the Rfam family "Bacterial small subunit ribosomal RNA", at positions 80 to 353 of the family's 1533-position model. The record is from RNAcentral.
UAAGUUUGAUGGCGACCGGCGCACGGGUGAGUAACACGUAUCCAACCUGCCGAUGACUCGGGGAUAGCCUUUCGAAAGAAAGAUUAAUACCCGAUAGCAUAAUGAUUCCGCAUGGUUUCAUUAUUAAAGGAUUCCGGUAAAGGAUGGGGAUGCGUUCCAUUAGGUUGUUGGUGGGGUAACGGCCCACCAAGCCUUCGAUGGAUAGGGGUUCUGAGAGGAAGGUCCCCCACAUUGGAACUGAGACACGGUCCAAACUCCUACGGGAGGCAGCAUG